RNAcentral lists this transfer RNA (63 nucleotides) under Nerodia clarkii (salt marsh snake). RNAcentral describes it as "tRNA-Ser". Lineage: Eukaryota; Metazoa; Chordata; Lepidosauria; Squamata; Natricidae. The record is from RNAcentral. RNAcentral also lists the same sequence under 1 other name.
CACCAGAGGGCGCAAUAAGACCUGCUAACUCUUAAACCCGGAAAUAACCAGCCGGCCCCCUCU